UUUUGCUUUCCGGGGCACAUAAUCUUCAGCCGGGCGCUUUUCGGCGGCCCGCGGCUGGCUCUCUGGCUUUGCCUGGGAGGCUGGCUUGCCCUCGCCUUGUGGCUUGCCCUCACCUUCGGACCUGCCCUGCUUUUCCUGGCUUCCCUCAUCUUCCAGUUGUCCCUCAUCACCUGGCUCUCCCUCAUCCUCUCUCUUUCCCUCGCAUUCUGUCUUCCCCUCCACGUCUGGCUUUUCUUCCUCGUCUGACUUUCCUUCAUCAUCAGGCUCUACUUCAUCUUCUGGCUUUCCCUCGUUUUCCAGGUUUCCUUCAUUUUUAUUGUAGGGUUUUUCCAUGUCGAGAUUUCCC
Molecule: long non-coding RNA, 346 nt
Filed under: Homo sapiens (human)
Lineage: Eukaryota; Metazoa; Chordata; Mammalia; Primates; Hominidae
Description: lncAB632.1
Source: RNAcentral